AGAGUUUGAUCCUGGCUCAGGACGAACGCUGGCGGCGUGCUUAACACAUGCAAGUCGAACGAUGAAGUUAUGACGGAGGCUUCGGCCGACUGAAUGAUGGAUUAGUGGCGGACGGGUGAGUAACGCGUGAGUAACCUGCCUUUCAGAGAGGAAUAACAUUUGGAAACGAAUGGUAAUACCACAUAACAUUACGUUCUCGCAUGGGGAUGUAAUCAAAGAUUUAUCGCUGAGAGAUGGACUCGCGUCCGAUUAGCUGGAUGGUGAGGUAACGGCCCACCAUGGCGACGAUCGGUAGCCGGACUGAGAGGUUGAACGGCCACAUUGGGACUGAGACACGGUCCAGACUCCUACGGGAGGCAGCAGUGAGGAAUAUUGGUCAAUGGGCGAGAGCCUGAACCAGCCAAGUAGCGUGCAGGAUGACGGCCCUAUGGGUUGUAAACUGCUUUUAUAAGGGAAUAAAGUGAGUCUCGUGAGACUUUUUGCAUGUACCUUAUGAAUAAGGACCGGCUAAUUCCGUGCCAGCAGCCGCGGUAAUACGGAAGGUCCGGGCGUUAUCCGGAUUUAUUGGGUUUAAGGGGAGCGUAGGCCGGAGAUUAAGCGUGUUGUGAAAUGUAGAUGCUCAACAUCUGCACUGCAGCGCGAACUGGUUUCCUUGAGUACGCACAAAGUGGGCGGAAUUCGUGGUGUAGCGGUGAAAUACUUAGAUAUCACGAAGAACUCCGAUUGCGAAGGCAGCUCACUGGAGCGCAACUGACGCUGAAGCUCGAAAGUGCGGGUAUCGAACAGGACUAGAUACCCUGGUAGUCCGCACGGUAAACGAUGGAUGCCCCGCUGUUGGUCUGAAUAGGUCAGCGGCCAAGCGAAAGCAUUAAGCAUCCCACCUGGGGAGUACGCCGGCAACGGUGAAACUCAAAGGAAUUGACGGGGGCCCGCACAAGCGGAGGAACAUGUGGUUUAAUUCGACGCAACGCGAAGAACCUUACCAAGUCUUGACAUCCCUUGACAGGCAUAGAAAUAUGUUUUCUCUUCGGAGCAAGGAGACAGGUGGUGCAUGGUUGUCGUCAGCUCGUGUCGUGAGAUGUUGGGUUAAGUCCCGCAACGAGCGCAACCCUUGUGAUAUGUUACUAACAUUGAGUUGAGGACUCAUAUCAGACGGCCGGUGAUAAACCGGAGGAAGGUGGGGAUGACGUCAAAUCAUCAUGCCCCUUAUGGCCUGGGCUACACACGUACUACAAUGGCGUCUACAAAGAGUGGCAAGCCUGUGAAGGCAAGCGAAUCUCAUAAAGGACGUCUCAGUUCGGAUUGAAGUCUGCAACCCGACUUCAUGAAGCUGGAAUCGCUAGUAAUCGCGAAUCAGCAUGUCGCGGUGAAUACGUUCUCGGGCCUUGUACACACCGCCCGUCAAG
RNAcentral lists this ribosomal RNA (1406 nucleotides) under uncultured bacterium. RNAcentral describes it as "bacterial SSU rRNA". It matches the Rfam family "Bacterial small subunit ribosomal RNA". The record is from RNAcentral.